CUUGCUCCAUGACAUCCAGGAAUUACACCCACCGUCUGUAAAGGUUUCGCCACAGUAGCUAAACCUUUACAGCAAUGAGUGAACUGGCACGACUUCAAUAUCAGCUGAAAUCUCAAAGCUCAGAGGUCUAUUAUUCAUUAGGUCUCCUCAGUUGCAAAUUGGUCUCUUUGCUGAAGUGUUCCCCACAUGCCCAGACAGGCACCAGACAGCUAUACUCACACAUUUUCCACAGUCCUCUGAGCACACGGAUGAGUCGUCUCAUAUCAAAGCCACCAGCAAUUUACAAAGUGUAUCUCUUAGACCUCUCCAGAGAGUAAAGCAUAGUCAUACUCUUACAACGUGACCCAAUGCAACAUGAUAAGUCUUAAGUGUGUGACUAAAUUACUUGAAGUGAGAGAUGCUUAGAGUGUAGACAUCAGUAAUGUUUGGUUUGUUUAUUUAGUCUGAAGGCACCAAAAGACAAGUACCAUGAUUGUAUGUGUCUUACCGCUUCUUAAGUUUUACUCUCUGUCUCUCCGUCUCAAUAUCUGUGUUUUUUAUUUCAAUUAAAUCUUUCUGCCAGCAAAUCGCAACGCCAUCCUCCCACUGCUGCCACCCCUUUUUGCAACCUAUCCACAAAUCAGAUAUGAGAUUUCUUUGUUGAAGACUGUGUCAGCGAGAGGGAGGAGGAGGGAUGCCGUGAUCCCAGGGAUGGCUACAACAUGUGCUGUGGCAACCACGUGCAGCUCAGCUUCAGAAAGACCAGGGGACCGGCCGUGGAUUCCCAAAACACGCACACGCCACUGACACCGACCGUCGUCAUCCGGGAUGAUGGAGUUUGAGAGGACGCAGCACGAGAGUGAGGCAGACGGGGAGGCUGCUCUGACACCGUGCUGAGUCUGGAAACAUCCACAGCACAGAGGGGAGGAGGGGGACUCAAGUAAAGUGCAGCGCGGCUUGCUUUAUUUCUUUUGUGCCCGGCGGAUUGUGCAACACUUCCUGUGCAGAGUGAAAAGCUGCAGAACAUCUGCAGUGGAGGUAAAAAACCAGCAGAGAUGAGUAAUGCUAUGAAGCAUUCGAUACAUUUUGUAUUUUAUCUUCUCUGAUUAAUAGAGCAUUGUUUUGUAAUGAAUAAAGUGUGAAACAUCACGCA
Acanthopagrus latus (yellowfin seabream) is the source of this 1132-nucleotide long non-coding RNA. RefSeq lists it as uncharacterized. NCBI's taxonomy places the organism in Eukaryota, Metazoa, Chordata, Actinopteri, Spariformes, Sparidae. The transcript has 3 exons. The record is from RefSeq and is a predicted model, not a curated record.